UACGGAGGGUGCAAGCGUUGCUCGGAAUCACUGGGCGUAAAGCGCACGCAGGCGGCUAUUCAAGUCGGAUGUGAAAGCCCCGGGCUCAAACCCGGGAACUGCAUUCGAAACUGGAUGGCUUGAGUUCGAGAGAGGGUGGUGGAAUUCCUGGUGUAGAGGUGAAAUUCGUUGAAUAUCAGGAGGAACAUCGGCAGCCGAAGGCGGCCACCUGGCUCGAUACCUG
Molecule: ribosomal RNA, 223 nt
Filed under: uncultured bacterium
Lineage: Bacteria
Description: partial 16S ribosomal RNA
Rfam family: Bacterial small subunit ribosomal RNA
Source: RNAcentral